RNAcentral lists this ribosomal RNA (425 nucleotides) under uncultured bacterium. Its description in RNAcentral is "partial 16S ribosomal RNA". It matches the Rfam family "Bacterial small subunit ribosomal RNA", at positions 354 to 796 of the family's 1533-position model. The record is from RNAcentral.
GUUAGGAAUAUUGGACAAUGGGCGAAAGCCUGAUCCAGCCAUGCCUCGUGAACGAUGAAGGCCUUCGGGUUGUAAAGUUCUUUAGCCGAUGAUUAUAAUGACUGUAGUCGGAAAAUAAGCCCCGGCUAACUUCGUGCCAGCAGCCGCGGUAAUACGAAGGGGGCGAGCGUUAUUCGGAAUCACUGGGCGUAAAGCGUGCGUAGGCGGUUUUGUAAGUUAGGAGUGAAAGCCCAGGGCUCAACCUUGGAAUUGCUCUUAAAACUGCAAGGCUCGAAUCUCGGAGAGGAUAGCGGAAUUUCCAGUGUAGCAGUGAAAUGCGUAGAUAUUGGAAGGAACACCAGUGGCGUAAGCGGCUAUCUGGACGAGUAUUGACGCUGAGGCACGAAAGCGUGGGGAUCAAACAGGAUUAGAUACCCGUGUAGUCC